Molecule: long non-coding RNA, 1158 nt
Organism: Oreochromis aureus
Lineage: Eukaryota; Metazoa; Chordata; Actinopteri; Cichliformes; Cichlidae
Source: Ensembl
AGUUUCUCAAUGGGAAGAGUGUAGAUGUAGUAAACCGUCAUGUUCCCUCAGUCGGUGACUUUCCAGCUUUGCUUAAUCUGACUUGCUUAGGAUAAGAAAUUAGAAGCAGGUUCUGAUUUUUUGUUUGUUUCUUCUUAAUUCUGUGUGAGAUCAGAAGAUCCACAGAAGGUGGAAAAUGUCCACUGUAACAUCUGCGUUGCACUGCUGGAUUUGGAUGUCUGCCUGCCUCCUUGUGCCUGUGUCUACAUUCUCAUUAAGCGCAACAGUUCAAUCUGGAAUCAAUGUCCAUCUGUCAUGUUUUGCUUCUGUCUAUGACAAUAACAACAUCACUGCUGUACAGUGGAGCAGAAGUGACCUGGAGCCAGAAUAUGUCCUUUUGUAUCAGGAUGAGCAGUUUGUUACAGACAACCAGCAUCCAUCCUUUGUGAACCGGGUGGAUCUGGAGGACAGACAGAUGGAGGAUGGAGACGUGUCUUUGAUUCUGAAGGAUGUGACGACUGCUGAUAAUGGAACAUAUGAGUGUCGUGUCCAGUUGGCGGGAACAAACCGUGAAAAGAGAGCUGUUUUCAAGGGUAACCCCAUUUGCAGUGUAAACCUGAGUGUUGAUCCUCCAGGUGAGUGAGUAGAGUUGAGUGUGUGUGUGAUCAGAGGUGAAGCUGCUUCCUGGUUGUUGAUGUUUGUUUCUAAAGAUGUUGUUGAUGAGACUUUGUAGAAAGCAGCUGGUCUGAGUGAUGUGAUCAGAGUGCAGUAGAUAAUGUCUGACAGCAGUUUGAAGAGGAAAUGGAUUCUGUUCUGUUCUUCACUCAUCACCUACCUGACACACUUGUUUCUCACCUGCAGGUCCCCCGGACAUUCACAAAAAGGAUGGAGGAUUCAGAAUUAGAGUUGUUAUACAUCCAGCUAGUUUGACAGUUUUUAUUUUGCUUGUUGUUGGUGCAAUUGUUGGCUGUGUGAGCUGCAGAAAAUAUAGACAACGGCAGAGUCAAAGUUCUUAGUCUCAGACCUUUAAACAGCUAAAGUGUGAGUCAAACACAUCCUGAAUUUGGUGAUCAGUGUCUUAACACAAGAACAUUUUCUUUAUUUGGGCAUGUCAAGAACUUGUAACAGAACUUCAUCAUGAUGAAAAAUAAGAAUAAUAAAGAUUUCUUCAUCUCAAAA